This 253-nucleotide ribosomal RNA is filed under the name uncultured bacterium. RNAcentral describes it as "partial 16S ribosomal RNA". It matches the Rfam family "Bacterial small subunit ribosomal RNA", at positions 524 to 776 of the family's 1533-position model. The record is from RNAcentral.
UACGUAGGGUGCGAGCGUUAAUCGGAAUUACUGGGCGUAAAGGGUGCGCAGGCGGCUCUGCAAGUCAAGCGUGAAAGCCCCGGGCUUAACCUGGGAAUGGCGCUUGAAACUACAGGACUGGAGUAUGGCAGAGGGAGGUGGAAUUCCACGUGUAGCGGUGAAAUGCGUAGAGAUGUGGAGGAACACCGAUGGCGAAGGCAGCCCCCUGGGUUAACACUGACGCUCAUGCACGAAAGCGUGGGGAGCAAACAGG